Molecule: small nucleolar RNA, 128 nt
Organism: Jaculus jaculus (lesser Egyptian jerboa)
Lineage: Eukaryota; Metazoa; Chordata; Mammalia; Rodentia; Dipodidae
Source: Ensembl
UGUUACUUAAAAGUCACUGUUGUUCUUAUAUUGACUGCAUAGAAAAAGGAGACAAAGUAAACCUAAUCCCAUAUACACCCCAGCCUGGGCCACUGUUCCUGGUCUGUAUUGUGAAUGGGGAGAUAUGG